AACGAACGCUGGCGGCAUGCCUAACACAUGCAAGUCGAACGAGACCUUCGGGUCUAGUGGCGCACGGGUGCGUAACGCGUGGGAACCUGCCCUUAGGUUCGGAAUAACUCCCCGAAAGGGGUGCUAGUACCGGAUAAUGUCUUCGGACCAAAGAUUUAUCGCCUUUGGAUGGGCCCGCGUUGGAUUAGCUAGUUGGUAGGGUAAAAGCCUACCAAGGCGACGAUCCAUAGCUGGUCUGAGAGGAUGAUCAGCCACACUGGGACUGAGACACGGCCCAGACUCCUACGGGAGGCAGCAGUGGGGAAUAUUGGACAAUGGGCGAAAGCCUGAUCCAGCAAUGCCGCGUGAGUGAUGAAGGCCUUAGGGUUGUAAAGCUCUUUUACCCGGGAUGAUAAUGACAGUACCGGGAGAAUAAGCUCCGGCUAACUCCG
Molecule: ribosomal RNA, 431 nt
Filed under: uncultured bacterium
Lineage: Bacteria
Description: partial 16S ribosomal RNA
Rfam family: Bacterial small subunit ribosomal RNA
Source: RNAcentral